Molecule: ribosomal RNA, 305 nt
Filed under: uncultured bacterium
Lineage: Bacteria
Description: bacterial SSU rRNA
Rfam family: Bacterial small subunit ribosomal RNA
Source: RNAcentral
UGAACCCUACGGGGGGCAGCAGUAGGGAAUCUUCCACAAUGGGCGAAAGCCUGAUGGAGCAACGCCGCGUGGGUGAAGAAGGUCUUCGGAUCGUAAAACCCUGUUGUUAGAGAAGAAAGUGCGUGAGAGUAACUGUUUACGUUUCGACGGUAUCUAACCAGAAAGCCACGGCUAACUACGUGCCAGCAGCCGCGGUAAUACGUAGGUGGCAAGCGUUAUCCGGAUUUAUUGGGCGUAAAGGGAACGCAGGCGGUCUUUUAAGUCAGCGGUCAAAGCCCGGGGCUCAACCCCGGCCCGCCGUUGAA